AGUGAACGCUGGCGGUAGGCCUAACACAUGCAAGUCGAACGGCAGCACAGGAGAGCUUGCUCUCUGGGUGGCGAGUGGCGGACGGGUGAGGAAUACAUCGGAAUCUACUUUUUCGUGGGGGAUAACGUAGGGAAACUUACGCUAAUACCGCAUACGACCUACGGGUGAAAGCAGGGGACCUUCGGGCCUUGCGCGAUUGAAUGAGCCGAGGUCGGAUUAGCUAGUUGGCGGGGUAAAGGCCCACCAAGGCGACGAUCCGUAGCUGGUCUGAGAGGAUGAUCAGCCACACUGGAACUGAGACACGGUCCAGACUCCUACGGGAGGCAGCAGUGGGGAAUAUUGGACAAUGGGCGCAAGCCUGAUCCAGCCAUACCGCGUGGGUGAAGAAGGCCUUCGGGUUGUAAAGCCCUUUUGUUGGGAAAGAAAUCCAGCUGGCUAAUACCCGGUUGGGAUGACGGUACCCAUAGAAUAAGCACCGGCUAACUUCGUGCCAGCCGCCGCAGUAA
This 506-nucleotide ribosomal RNA is filed under the name uncultured bacterium. Its description in RNAcentral is "partial 16S ribosomal RNA". It matches the Rfam family "Bacterial small subunit ribosomal RNA", at positions 29 to 523 of the family's 1533-position model. The record is from RNAcentral.